This is a long non-coding RNA of Folsomia candida, 902 nucleotides long. RefSeq lists it as uncharacterized. Lineage: Eukaryota; Metazoa; Arthropoda; Collembola; Entomobryomorpha; Isotomidae. The transcript has 2 exons. The record is from RefSeq and is a predicted model, not a curated record.
AGACAGACAGACAGACAGACAAAGUCUUCACAUAAAGUAGCUGAAGCUACUUAAUAAAAGCUGAAAGUUAAAAAAGCUUCGAACAAUGAGUGUCGUUCAAGAAGGAUUGAAGCAUACUGUCAUAUUCUUAGUAAAUAUCCAGAUACCAAAAUCUAACGAAUUAACAUACUAUGUACAUACAUGCAUAAAUGUAAAGGAUUCGCGUAAAUAUUUAAUGCAUAUACAUAUGUAUACACUCCCCAUUUUCAUAACAAUUUGUUCACAAAAUCUCAUUAGUUCUAAGCAUUAUGCAUUUUCACGAUUAUCAAGUCAAGUGAAAUUCUUUGUAGUAUCAUAAUAAGCAGAUAUAUAACCGCAAUAAUUAACGUAUUCUUAUCCAGUGCGUCAUUCACUUGAUAUAAAACCCAGUUGAUUAUGAAGAGAGAAAGCUAUUCGCGUUUCAAGCUGAUUCCAUAAGAAAGUAGCUACUAAUUUGGGAUCAAAUUCAAUUAAGAUGAUGACCCCAGCAAGCACUUUGACCAUUUUUCUGGUAGGAGCGAUAAUUUUUGGAGGCACGCUUGUCGCAAGCCAAGAUUCCAGUGCGAAAAUACCGAUCGUCUGGCCUGAGCAAUGUGUUAAUUGCUCUACUAUCUGCAACACUUACUUGCAAUGUUUGAAAUUUGAGAUGACUUCUCGUCUUGAUGAAAACAGGAUAGCGCUGUGUGGAUAUCGGUCAUGCUGUGUGCAUCCGAAAACUUACGGCUGUCUGACUAGAUGUCCAAGACUGAUCUUGGAACCGUAUCCAACCCUUCCUAUUGCUGAAAUAUAAUGAACGAGAUUCUAAAUGUCCAUAGAAAAUUGUAUAAAAAAUAAUGUAUACAUUUACAUAAUGCAAAUAAAUAAAUUUAUAGUGAGUAUAUUAA